UGCGUAGGCGGUGCGCCAAGUCGGGUGUGAAAUCCCUCGGCUUAACCGAGGAACUGCAUUCGAUACUAGCGUGCUAGAGGGUGAAAGGGGCAAGCGGAAUUCUAGGUGUAGCGGUGGAAUGCGUAGAUAUCUGGGAGAACGCCGAGGGCGAAGGCAGCUUGCUGGGUCACUUCUGACGCUGGGGCACGAAAGCUAGGGGAGCAAACA
Molecule: ribosomal RNA, 207 nt
Filed under: uncultured bacterium
Lineage: Bacteria
Description: partial 16S ribosomal RNA
Rfam family: Bacterial small subunit ribosomal RNA
Source: RNAcentral